ACAAACACUCAAAAUGAAAGACAUUUAUUGAUCCUUUCGGGAAUUCAUCUUGCACCACACAGCUCAUCUGACAGAAAGACAGACAGACAACACACAACAACAC
Etheostoma cragini (Arkansas darter) is the source of this 103-nucleotide long non-coding RNA. RefSeq lists it as uncharacterized. The transcript has 3 exons. The record is from RefSeq and is a predicted model, not a curated record. Lineage: Eukaryota; Metazoa; Chordata; Actinopteri; Perciformes; Percidae.